GACAGAGGCCCCAAGCGUUAGGCGGAAUCACUGGGCUUAAAGCGUGUGUAGGCGGAUCGUUAAGUGUCUUGUGAAAUCCCACGGCUCACCCGUGGAACGGCUGGGCAUACUGGCGAUCUUGGGCCAACUAGGGGCAGUCGGAACAAGCGGUGGAGCGGUGAAAUGCGUAGAGAUCCGGAGGAACCCCAGAGGCGAAGGCGGCAGCCUGGUUGGCUCCUGACGCUCGGACACGACAGCAUGGGGAGCGAACGGG
This 253-nucleotide ribosomal RNA is filed under the name uncultured bacterium. RNAcentral's name for it is "partial 16S ribosomal RNA". It matches the Rfam family "Bacterial small subunit ribosomal RNA", at positions 524 to 776 of the family's 1533-position model. The record is from RNAcentral.